This 550-nucleotide ribosomal RNA is filed under the name uncultured bacterium. RNAcentral describes it as "bacterial SSU rRNA". It matches the Rfam family "Bacterial small subunit ribosomal RNA", at positions 848 to 1397 of the family's 1533-position model. The record is from RNAcentral.
GAAGUUAACGCGAUAAGUCGACCGCCUGGGGAGUACGGCCGCAAGGUUAAAACUCAAAUGAAUUGACGGGGGCCCGCACAAGCGGUGGAGCAUGUGGUUUAAUUCGAUGCAACGCGAAGAACCUUACCUACUCUUGACAUCCUGCGAACUUGUGAGAGAUCACUUGGUGCCUUCGGGAGCGCAGAGACAGGUGCUGCAUGGCUGUCGUCAGCUCGUGUUGUGAAAUGUUGGGUUAAGUCCCGUAACGAGCGCAACCCUUGUCCUUAUUUGCCAGCGGGUAAUGCCGGGAACUCUAAGGAGACUGCCGGUGACAAACCGGAGGAAGGUGGGGACGACGUCAAGUCAUCAUGGCCCUUACGAGUAGGGCUACACACGUGCUACAAUGGCCGGUACAAAGGGUUGCGAGCUCGCGAGAGUCAGCUAAUCCCGAAAAGCCGGUCUCAGUCCGGAUCGGAGUCUGCAACUCGACUCCGUGAAGUCGGAAUCGCUAGUAAUCGUGAAUCAGAAUGUCACGGUGAAUACGUUCCCGGGCCUUGUACACACCGCCCGU